Molecule: transfer RNA, 22 nt
Filed under: Rhinephyllum sp. PMB11485
Lineage: Eukaryota; Viridiplantae; Streptophyta; Magnoliopsida; Caryophyllales; Aizoaceae
Description: partial tRNA-Leu
Source: RNAcentral
AAAGCAAGUCCCUCUAUCCCCA